RNAcentral lists this ribosomal RNA (603 nucleotides) under Betulodera sp. SAS-2014a. Its description in RNAcentral is "eukaryotic LSU rRNA". It matches the Rfam family "Eukaryotic large subunit ribosomal RNA", at positions 405 to 847 of the family's 3401-position model. The record is from RNAcentral. Lineage: Eukaryota; Metazoa; Nematoda; Chromadorea; Rhabditida; Heteroderidae.
CCGAUGAGAUGGAAACGGACAGAGCUGGCGUAUCUGGUCUGUAUUCAACCGUGGGUUUUUGGACGUGUUGGUUGCCGUCUCCAGACUGGGGCGGUGCCUACACAGUUCGGAGACCCAUGGGGCAUUUGCAGGCGGAGUGCGCUGAGAUGCUCGGUGCAGCUGCAUAAGCUCGGCUUUGAGGCCAGCCCUUCGGGGUCUGGUACCCGGGCCGGAGGAGUGCUGUUUGUGCUGGGUGUGCCUGUGUGCAAUGGCAACGGGCUCGUGUUUGGCUGAGCUGGCGGUCGGUGGCGGUCGCAUGCGACACGUGCCAGCAAUCAGUUCGGUCCAGCUCGGGCUCUCAUUGUGCAUUCUCGGUGUAAAAGCCGGUUAUCUGUCCGACCCGUCUUGAAACACGGACCAAGGAGUUUAGCGUGUGCGCGAGUCAUUGGGAGUUGAAAACCCAAAGGCGUAAUGAAAGUGAAGGCUUCUCUCGGAGCUGAUGUGUGAUCCUGUGCACCUCGGUGUGCGGGCGCAACAUAGUCCCGUCCCAAUUGCAUGCGAUGGGGCGGAGACAGAGCGUACGCGCUGAGACCCGAAAGAUGGUGAACUAUUCCUGAGCAGGAU